Molecule: unclassified non-coding RNA, 239 nt
Filed under: Glomus sp.
Lineage: Eukaryota; Fungi; Glomeromycota; Glomeromycetes; Glomerales; Glomeraceae
Description: partial contains 5.8S ribosomal RNA and internal transcribed spacer 2
Rfam family: 5.8S ribosomal RNA (bases 1-71)
Source: RNAcentral
GUGAAUCAUCAAAUCUUUGAACGCAAAUUGCACUCUCUGGUAUUCCGGAGAGUAUGCCUGUUUGAGGGUCAGUUUAAAUAAAAAUCGGUGUGGUUGCUGCCUGUCGUGGUGACGCACCGGAUUUGGGUCGUCUUGCCUUCGGUGAAGGGACCUAAAAUUUUGCAUUAUGUUUUUCGAACGUAUUUAAAUGAUUUUACGUACUUUUGCGGUAUCGAAGACUUGAUGUUGUCAUCCUCAUG